AUGACCUUGAGGCACUGCUGGGUUGUCAAGGACUCAGUCCGGUUGCUAGUGCUGGAUGAAAAGGGGGAGUUGUUAGAUCUAGGACACAUUGCUCAGCUGCUUGUGGCUCUGGAAUAUUUGUGGUUUCAGUGUCCCCUGAGGAGCCUGCACUUUCCUGCUCUUGCCUCCUCAUCAGAGUGUUCCAGUAACUUUGAGAUACUUCAGAUCUCCCUAUUUAAACCUGAAGAAAUGACUACCAUGUUUGUUAGGAAGGCUUGGGAGAUCGUGUUCAGGAAUCAUGUGUUAGACGUGUGGUGGCCGGGGCUGCUGCCUCUGGCAGUCCAUAGUCACAGUAUCAGUGUCAGGAAAGGCAAUGAAUGCAUGAGGAUGUUUAACCUGUUGCCCCUCCUCAAACCAGGGCAUGUACCACGCUGCCUUGCUCAGGCACUUGUACCCGAACGCUGGGCACAAGCCCACAGACAUGAACCCUUUAAGGUGAAGCUGAUUAACGAACUGAAUGAGUGAUAGGUCCAUCUUGGGGUGGUCGAUAAGGUGUCCUGGCACUCCAAGUGCAAGGACAGCACCUGGAUUUUCCUGGGAGGACUUCCUUAUGAACUGACUGAAGGGGACAUCAUCUGUGUGUUCUCACAACAUGGGGAGAUUGUUAACAUUAAUCUUGUGCAGGACAAGAAGAAUGGGAAAUCCAAAGGAUUCUGUUUCCUUUCCUGUAAAGACCAGCGGAGCACAAUUCUGGCUGUUGACAAUUUUAAUGGGAUCAAGAUCAAAGGAAGAACUAUCUCAGUGGAUCAAGUGUCUAAGUAUCGGGCUCCUAAGGCGUCAGAAGAAAUAGAUGAUGUGACCAAAGAGCUCCAGAGAAGGGCUGUGGGGCUCAUACCCCCUCACUGAAUUUGUGUCAGAGCUCUGCAAAUGAAAAACCAACAAAAAAAGCACAAAAAAGACAAACAGGAAAAAAAGGAAAUAAAGAGAGAAAACUGACUGGGAGGUACAGGCAGAACAACCAUCCUCUUCAUCAUUCAGAAACAAGACACUAAAGGAAAAGGAUGACCUGGCCCUAAGAAAAACAGCAACAAGAACUCAGAGAUAGCUCAGAAGUCAGAGCCCAGGGAGGGGCGGAAGCUCCCCGAGGCCAGGACUGCCUGCUCUGGUGGAGCAGAGGACCUAGAGCGGGAGCUGAAGAAGGAGAAACCCAGCCACUAGCCUAAGGCCUCAAGCAGGAGGGAGGCAAAAGGAAAGACCAGGAAUAGGGACAGAGGGCAGAGCUCAGACACACAUUCUAGCCUGUACAACAGGUGUUCUGAAGGGUGUAGUCAUAGGAGCUGAGAUAAAUCCCAUAGGCAUAAAAGGGCCCAGGGCUCCCAAGAGCUGGAACCUUCAAAUCACAGUGACCAUAGGCUUCCCUGAAGAUUGUUCAGCUGCUCAGUAGAUUUGGAAAUAGUUAUGUUAUUUAAAUGCAGUCAAAUUCAGUUGAGUUGUUACUAUUUUUAUAUCUAAAACUUCUGGGGCUGGAUUUUUUUAAUCCCUUGAGUAUUAGAGUCAUUGAGAGGGCUGCAGUUUCAACAGAUACCCUGGAUAUUCUUCACACCAUCCAUUGUCCCUGUACCAGAGUAUGUGUCCUGAAUUUGGGUUCAUAAAUAUGGCUCUUGAACCCAUAUACCCCAAUUGAAGAUGGAAUUUUCAGGAAAGGAAAAAUACCGGAUAAUUCUAGAAUUCUAGUUUUCGCGUUAGAGGUCUAGAGCUCAGCGUCGUGGGACCUUUCCAGUUACUAGGUUUGGACAGCUUGAUGUGAAUGAAUGGGAUAGGAUUUUUAAGAUCAACCAGCUCCAUGACCAAACCCUCCUGUUUUAAAAAAAUGUUAAUGUCUUUUCUUUUUCAUUAAGACUUUCUUGUUUGAUA
This is an RNA transcript of Sapajus apella (tufted capuchin), 1893 nucleotides long. It is a transcript of the gene named RNA-binding motif protein, X-linked 2-like, with no coding region annotated. The record is from RefSeq and is a predicted model, not a curated record. The transcript is spliced from 4 exons. Lineage: Eukaryota; Metazoa; Chordata; Mammalia; Primates; Cebidae.